UGUCCCAUGGUGUAAUGGUAGCACUCCUGGUUUUGGUUCAGUCAGUCUAGGUUCGAAUCCUGGUGGGACAA
RNAcentral lists this transfer RNA (71 nucleotides) under Bacteroidales bacterium 36-12. RNAcentral describes it as "tRNA-Gln". It matches the Rfam family "tRNA". Rfam says of the family: Transfer RNA (tRNA) molecules are approximately 80 nucleotides in length. Their secondary structure includes four short double-helical elements and three loops (D, anti-codon, and T loops). RNAcentral also lists the same sequence under 3 other names. The record is from RNAcentral. Lineage: Bacteria; Pseudomonadati; Bacteroidota; Bacteroidia; Bacteroidales.